RNAcentral lists this ribosomal RNA (1037 nucleotides) under Bacillus sp. (in: firmicutes). Its description in RNAcentral is "bacterial SSU rRNA". It matches the Rfam family "Bacterial small subunit ribosomal RNA", at positions 21 to 1045 of the family's 1533-position model. The record is from RNAcentral. Lineage: Bacteria; Bacillati; Bacillota; Bacilli; Caryophanales; Bacillaceae.
CUGUCAGACGACGCGGCGGCGUGCCUAAUACAUGCAAGUCGAGCGGACAGAAGGGAGCUGCUCCCGGAUGUUAGCGGCGGACGGGUGAGUAACACGUGGGUAACUGCCUGUAAGACUGGGAUAACUCCGGGAAACCGGAGCUAAUACCGGAUAGUUCCNUGAACCGCAUGGUUCAAGGAUGAAAGACGGUUUCGGCUGUCACUUACAGAUGGACCCGCGGCGCAUUAGCUAGUUGGUGGGGUAAUGGCUCACCAAGGCGACGAUGCGUAGCCGACCUGAGAGGGUGAUCGGCCACACUGGGACUGAGACACGGCCCAGACUCCUACGGGAGGCAGCAGUAGGGAAUCUUCCGCAAUGGACGAAAGUCUGACGGAGCAACGCCGCGUGAGUGAUGAAGGUUUUCGGAUCGUAAAGCUCUGUUGUUAGGGAAGAACAAGUGCGAGAGUAACUGCUCGCACCUUGACGGUACCUAACCAGAAAGCCACGGCUAACUACGUGCCAGCAGCCGCGGUAAUACGUAGGUGGCAAGCGUUGUCCGGAAUUAUUGGGCGUAAAGGGCUCGCAGGCGGUUUCUUAAGUCUGAUGUGAAAGCCCCCGGCUCAACCGGGGAGGGUCAUUGGAAACUGGGAAACUUGAGUGCAGAAGAGGAGAGUGGAAUUCCACGUGUAGCGGUGAAAUGCGUAGAGAUGUGGAGGAACACCAGUGGCGAAGGCGACUCUCUGGUCUGUAACUGACGCUGAGGAGCGAAAGCGUGGGGAGCGAACAGGAUUAGAUACCCUGGUAGUCCACGCCGUAAACGAUGAGUGCUAAGUGUUAGGGGGUUUCCGCCCCUUAGUGCUGCAGCUAACGCAUUAAGCACUCCGCCUGGGGAGUACGGUCGCAAGACUGAAACUCAAAGGAAUUGACGGGGGCCCGCACAAGCGGUGGAGCAUGUGGUUUAAUUCGAAGCAACGCGAAGAACCUUACCAGGUCUUGACAUCCUCUGACAACCCUAGAGAUAGGGCUUUCCCUUCGGGGACAGAGUGACAGGUGGUGCA